This is a long non-coding RNA of Oncorhynchus gorbuscha (pink salmon), 1080 nucleotides long. RefSeq lists it as uncharacterized. The transcript has 2 exons. The record is from RefSeq and is a predicted model, not a curated record. Lineage: Eukaryota; Metazoa; Chordata; Actinopteri; Salmoniformes; Salmonidae.
GGAGCACCUCUGUCGGUCUACGGUUCAAAUUCAAGCCGGCGCGCCUGAGGCUACGGCCAUUUUCUGCUGAACAAACUAAACCCCGCACAGAGUCUAUUGGCUUUGAACUUCAACUUGGCCUUCGACGUCCGGUACGGAAUCCGCGUUGCCCCACUCAAACUGGCAAACAAACUAAUACAUUUCACUACGGGAGAAGUGCCAAAACGCUUUGCAGACGAUCUUAAUCAUUAUGCGCUGGUGUAACAAAUAUACAGUAUGUCUGCAUUUUUAGCCUUUCCAACGAACGUUCCGCUUGGCUAAAAACCAACAAGAAAAUGAGUAGCCCAACUGCUGAGAAACAAAGGAGCAGAACAUCAAAAUACAGCUCUACGCUAUUAUCGUAAUUGGAUUUUACAAAGUGCACACAACUCGUGAUCAUUCUCGCCUUGCGUCUGUUGGAACAUGGACAAAUAUUGAUUAAAUUGAUUUGUUAACGUACCAUUUCAAAGCGAAACUGCCAACCCCCCAGAAAAGUUCUAGUUUAUGCAGCACCACGGUUCAGCGCCUGGUCAUCUCGUUGACGGGGUUCUAUUAUUAUUCCAUAUCCAUUUAUCCGCGAACAGAGGUAAUCCGUGGUCUUCCGAGGGGAGACUACACCGCACAGAGAUCAAUCAGAAACGUCCCACGCGAAGUCUGCAGCUUCAACCCCAGCAGAAUCCUCGCUACAAGGCCACUGAGUUUGGUGGAGUAAGCUGUCUUGGCACGCCAUCUGACCUUACCACAGGAAGGCUGUGCUGGAGCGAGCGGGAAAGACAUGAUCCCACCGUUCAAUGUGAAUUAAAGGGUUCCUGUAAAAAUCUACAGCUAAAAAGGUGUAUUUCCUAAAGACAGAGGAGUGAGAGCCGGGACUCGCGCUAUGACAUCAGCUGACAAUGAAAGUAGUAUUUCAAACCUCCAAACUAUGACAAGGGCCUUGCAUGUCAUCUUUACGCAAGUGAACAGGAUGCAUGCAAAAGCAUACAGAUAUGCUGAACUCAAUGGAAAAGUGAGUGAAGUGUAAUGUUUGACAUGAAUAAAGGUCUCCUGAAGAGGGCAGUACCA